RNAcentral lists this ribosomal RNA (25 nucleotides) under Mosla dadoensis. Its description in RNAcentral is "partial 18S small subunit ribosomal RNA". Lineage: Eukaryota; Viridiplantae; Streptophyta; Magnoliopsida; Lamiales; Lamiaceae. The record is from RNAcentral.
UACCUGAUUGAUCCUGCCAUGAUCC